GCCAGACUCCUACGGGAGGCAGCAGUGGGGGAUAUUGCACAAUGGGGGGAACCCUGAUGCAGCGACGCCGCGUGGGUGAAGGAGUAUUUCGGUAUGUAAAGCCCUAUCGGCAGGGAAGAAGCAAGACGGUACCUGACUAAGAAGCCCCGGCUAACUACGUGCCAGCAGCCGCGGUAAUACGUAGGGGGCGAGCGUUAUCCGGAUUCACUGGGUGUAAAGGGAGCGUAGACGGCCAAGCAAGCCAGGGGUGAAAGCCCGGGGCCCAACCCCGGGACUGCCCUUGGAACUGCAUGGCUGGAGUGCGGGAGGGGCAGGCGGAAUUCCUGGUGUAGCGGUGAAAUGCGUAGAUAUCAGGAGGAACACCAGUGGCGAAGGCGGCUUACUGGACUGUAACUGACGUUGAGGCUCGAAAGCGUGGGGAGCAAACAGGAUUAGAUACCCUAGUACC
Molecule: ribosomal RNA, 448 nt
Filed under: uncultured bacterium
Lineage: Bacteria
Description: bacterial SSU rRNA
Rfam family: Bacterial small subunit ribosomal RNA
Source: RNAcentral